This 487-nucleotide long non-coding RNA is filed under the name Panax ginseng (ginseng). RNAcentral describes it as "long non-coding RNA (PGIN_LNC009893)". The record is from RNAcentral. Lineage: Eukaryota; Viridiplantae; Streptophyta; Magnoliopsida; Apiales; Araliaceae.
CAAUUAAUAGUACAAUUCAUACACAGAAAUCUUGCUGUAAACUUUCCAAUCAUCAGAUUGAUUCCUUCUGGCUGUCAUAGCCUUAUCAGAUCACGGGGUGAUCUCAUCGUAUAUAUUACGAUUUAGUUCUAUAUCUUGAUCGUUUUAUUUUACGAUCUCUCAUAACUGCACUUUCAGUCUUUUAGACUCAAUCUAUUCCCCACUACUGUUUAACUUUAUAAUCAGAGUUAGGGAACUCUAUGUCUUUACACUCGCCGAGAUUCAUCUUUGAAUCUUAUCGACCAACUAACUCUAUAUGAGUUAAUAUUUAUCCUAAUCAUUGCGGUUAUUAGUCUCAGGUAUUCCUACCUAAGCUUCAUAACUAACAGCUUUGAUACCAACUGUGGCAUCCCCAGAUCCGGGUCCCGAAUCGCCGCGGAUCCGGUUUGCUAUUUCUACAACUGUUGCGGAAGAUAUAAACAUAAAUUGUUUAUACAUUAAACUUUAC